This 468-nucleotide ribosomal RNA is filed under the name uncultured bacterium. Its description in RNAcentral is "partial 16S ribosomal RNA". It matches the Rfam family "Bacterial small subunit ribosomal RNA", at positions 28 to 507 of the family's 1533-position model. The record is from RNAcentral.
GACGAACGCUGGCGGCGUGCUUAACACAUGCAAGUCGAACGGAAAGGCCCUGCUUUUGUGGGGUGCUCGAGUGGCGAACGGGUGAGUAACACGUGAGUAACCUGCCCUUGACUUUGGGAUAACUUCAGGAAACUGGGGCUAAUACCGGAUAGGAGCUCCUGCUGCAUGGUGGGGGUUGGAAAGUUUCGGCGGUUGGGGAUGGACUCGCGGCUUAUCAGCUUGUUGGUGGGGUAGUGGCUUACCAAGGCUUUGACGGGUAGCCGGCCUGAGAGGGUGACCGGCCACAUUGGGAGUGAGAUACGGCCCCGACUCCUACGGGAGGCAGCAGUGGGGAAUAUUGCACACUGGACGGAAGCCUGAUGCAGCAACGCCGCGUGCGGGAUGACGGCCUUCGGGUUGUAGACCGCUUUCGCCUGUGACUAAACGUGAGUGACGAUAAUGGGUAAAGAAGCACCGGCUAACUACGUG